This is a non-coding RNA of Pelobates cultripes (western spadefoot toad), 162 nucleotides long. The record is from the annotation of a GenBank genome assembly. Lineage: Eukaryota; Metazoa; Chordata; Amphibia; Anura; Pelobatidae.
GCUAAAUAGUUUUGGGUAUGGCCACGGUGGGUCUAUUCUGGAAAAACUAUAGGUGAAUUCAAUCUUAAUCCAUAUGGGAUUAGAAAAUAUAGAUUAAGAUUGCAUUCACCUAUAGUUUUUCCAGAAUAGAUCCACCGUGGCCAUACCCAAAACCACUCUCCU